This 1512-nucleotide long non-coding RNA is filed under the name Equus caballus (horse). RNAcentral's name for it is "lncRNA (ENSECAG00000047370.1)". Lineage: Eukaryota; Metazoa; Chordata; Mammalia; Perissodactyla; Equidae. The record is from RNAcentral.
AUUCAGCCAGAGAAUGAGGAAGGAGAGAGGCCCUCCCUUUGCUGGAAGGUUCCAGAACCAGCCACAAGGGGCACAGGGCUGGUCUGCCCACUUUCCAUUGGCCAGAAGCAGUAAGGUGGCCAUGCCCGCCAGGUGGAGAGGCUGGGUGAAUAGGACGUGAGCUCCAUGAACCCCGGCUGUCAGGGCCACAUGCCCACCUCCAUCAGUCUGAGUCCAAGGCGUGCCUUCUGUCGGACUUAACUCUCCUACUUCCAGAGUGGAGAAAAUGUGAGAAUAGAAAACAAAAGGCCUGUGGAAGAGGUCUGUGAAUGGUUUAGUCGCGAGCAGGGGCGUCAGGAGAAAGGUCAUGGCUAGUCUCCCCUGAGGUCUCAGUGAGGACAAGGACCAGCUCCAAGCAAGACUGCCACCUGCUCCCAGGCGGAGCGUGGACGCCCGGCCGAGUGGACUGGAGGGCCAUCUCUCUCCCGUCCUGGCCCUGCCUCGUGAGCAGGCAGACUCCACGUGUGAUCUGACACGAAUCGGGCGACCGAGUGACGCACGAUUUAAAACCCACCCGGGCAGAACGGGAGCUCAGGGACAAUAACCUAGAAGAUUCGAUGGAGAAGUCUGAGGCUUGGCCGACCACUCGCUGAAUGGAGGGUCACCACAGAUGCAAUAGUUAAAGAUGCUGGCUGACGAGAGAUGCCGUAUGGUGAACUGAAUAAUGCAAAUUAGGGAUAAUUUCAAACAGAGCCAAGUGCGAUCUGCCUUCAGGUCAGGUGGUUGCACAUUCCAGGUAAAUUCAACACAGGUCAAGAGUGUGUGUGAAGGCUGGGGUGAGUGGGUAAAACAGACUCUGUGCUUGCAUCAUUAGAAGGAGGCUUCCCCUCUGAGGGAAUGUCCCAUUCGUUUCAGGAUAUUUAGCAUCCUGCCCCCAGCCCCUGGGAGCCAGUCGACAUUGUGACAACUGAGAUGACAUAACAUGUUGAAAACAUCCCCUAGGGGGCGAUGUCACACCGGUUGAGUACCACUGAUUAGCACCACACAGCGAAAUCACUCCCUGGGAAUAAAGAAUGAAGGAAGAAAGGAGAUCAACGGGCCACUAGAGAGGAGAGAGGAUGCGGCACAGAGAGUUAAAGUGCCUACCUCUGAAAACUUGGGCAAGAUUUGAAGGAAGAUAGAUCGAGGAAAAGGAGAGUCAAGGACGCACAAAAGGGCUACAUGUUUGUCUAUGUCAUGCCAACCCUGCCUGUGUAUUCUAUUUCUGGUUCUCACUGCCGAAUUCUGGAAUUUCUAAAAUAAUACAAAUGAAGAAGAUUCAAGGAUGUGUAAGUGAUAUGUGCCUACCUAAGGGAAAGAAGCAUCUUACCUUCCUGCAAUUUGUCAAGCAACUGAAAUAUCAAGAACCUAGACCUGCCUGCAUGACUGAACGCUCACCUUGUUCCACACACCUUGUGUGUUUUUCUGUGGAAUCAGAGGUGAUGGAACAAGGAAUAUUUUUCUCCUGUUCUAUACUGGUUAUCUGCUGCUGCG